RNAcentral lists this ribosomal RNA (438 nucleotides) under uncultured bacterium. RNAcentral describes it as "bacterial SSU rRNA". It matches the Rfam family "Bacterial small subunit ribosomal RNA", at positions 29 to 469 of the family's 1533-position model. The record is from RNAcentral.
AGCGAACGUUUGCGGCGGGCCUAACACAUGCAAGUCGAACGCACUAGCAAUAGUGAGUGGCGCACGGGUGCGUAACACGUGGGUAAUCAACCCUUCAGCCUGGGAUAACGACUCGAAAGGGUCGCUAAUACCGGAUACGGCGCGAGAGGCUUCGGCUUCUCACGAGAAAGCCACGCAAGGGGCACUGAAGGACGAGCCUGCGGCCCAUCAGCUAGUUGGUGAGGUAAGAGCUCACCAAGGCUAAGACGGGUAGCUGGUCUGAGAGGAUGAUCAGCCACACUGGAACUGAGACACGGUCCAGACUCCUACGGGAGGCAGCAGUGGGGAAUAUUGCGCAAUGGGCGAAAGCCUGACGCAGCCACGCCGCGUGAGCGAUGAAGGCCUUCGGUCGUAAGACUCUGUGGGGAGAGACGAAGAAAGACCUGUGAAGAGCAGGCC